Molecule: ribosomal RNA, 468 nt
Filed under: uncultured bacterium
Lineage: Bacteria
Description: SSU rRNA
Rfam family: Bacterial small subunit ribosomal RNA
Source: RNAcentral
AGAGCGAACGCUGGCGGCAGGCCUAACACAUGCAAGUCGAGCGCCCGUAGCAAUACGGGAGCGGCAGACGGGAUAGUAACACGUGGGAACGCGCCCUUCGGUUCGGAAUAACUCAGGGAAACUUGAGCUAAUACCGAAUACGCCCUUACGGGGAAAGAUUUAUUGCCGAAGGAACGGCCCGCGUCCGAUUAGCUAGUUGGUGAGGUAAUGGCUCACCAAGGCUACGAUCGGUAGCUGGUCUGAGAGGAUGACCAGCAUCACUGGGACUGAGACACGGCCCAGACUCCUACGGGAGGCAGCAGUGGGGAAUAUUGGACAAUGCCCGCAAGGGUGAUCCAGCCAUGCCGCGUGCAGGAAGAAGGCCCUAUGGGUUGUAAACUGCUUUUACACCGGAGAAAACCCCCUUUCGUGAAAGGGGCUGAUAGUAUGGUGAGAAUAAGCAUCGGCUAACUUCGUGCCAGCAGCCGC